AUUUACGCUAACCGUGCUCUCUUUUCGCUCUCUGCUGCCACCGGCUGCUUUGUGAACUGCAGUUGCGCAAACGACUUCAGCACAGCUGCCGCUGUUUAGCAUGUUAGAAAUUAGCUCACCUGUCAAAAAGUCAACUCACGUAACGUUAGUUUUUUAUCGGCUGUAGCGGAAUAAUAUUAUUUCGUUUAACCAACUUCAUUCGCUAGCUUGUCAUUUUUAACUUUGUUUGUUGGCAAAAGUUGCACUUUAAGGCUGAAGUAUAAUUUCCUGUCGUAUAACGUUACCUGUCGGCAGCUUGGAACCACAGCUAUCACCAAAGGACAACUCUUUCCCAGGGAUUUUGUCACAAUAUGUUAGGAUGUCUUGGUCGCUGCUUCCUUUCACCAGUCUAAGGAGUUGUGGUGGAUCUACCAGACGGAGUUCCUGGCAUUAAGGGAGCAUCUCCUCUCGGCUGAGCAGUAGAACCUUCGGCACUCCAAAGUGAAUCUGGUCCGGGAAGAGAUUAAGAGGGCCAUCGCUGAAAAAACAGGGGCUGAGAGACAUAAACCACACCUGGAGCAGCCUCUCAAGCCAUGGCUAACAUCGAAUCCAGUAUGGGUCCUUCGGCAAGACCUUUGAUGCUAUCUGCCUACCUCAAGUGUGAGUGAAACCACAAACAGGAGAGUCAUACCGGCUCGGACGUCGCCCGGGUCAACAAGGUCCGCGUCAGGUGUUAUGGAACCAGGGCUUGAGAUUGACGAGGUACAACAAAAAUGCUACGGCAAGGGGGAGCCAGGACGCAAGGUCAGCGGGGGGAUGUCAUCAUCCCCCCUACAAUCCGAGUGGCUUUGUAUUUACACUCAGCAGUGUUCCACGUUGAAGCCAGCGCUGCAGAAAGACUCCGACUUUGUCAGAGCCUGCGACUUCCACUGGUGGAUCAUUGGAUAAUAAGCUCAGUGUGGAGUAAACUGGCAGUGAUGGGGUUAGGAUGAGAGAAAGCAGGAUGGAACAGAUCUGGGUUUUGAUUGGUUUGAUGGAGGAGAAAUCUUGUGAUGUUUGCUUUUCUUUGUUUUGAUAUCUGACAGCCUGACCUGUCUGUAUUUCCUUGAUUUAAAUAAAUAAUAA
Long non-coding RNA from Perca fluviatilis (European perch), 1104 nucleotides. RefSeq lists it as uncharacterized. Lineage: Eukaryota; Metazoa; Chordata; Actinopteri; Perciformes; Percidae. The transcript is spliced from 4 exons. The record is from RefSeq and is a predicted model, not a curated record.